CUCUCUCUCUCUCUCUCUCUGUAUGGUUCACCCUUUCUCUUUCACUCUCACUUUGCUUUGUAUAUAACCAUGAAAUGAAUAUACAUGUAUUUAGUAAAACUAUUGGUUGUUGUUUAGAAUUAGAAUAUGAACUGUAUGUGAAGAUGAGAUUAUACAGUAAGAAGAAUUCGUAAUAUUGGUUGUAAGUUUGUUAGAGCUAUUAGUACAGACUGCAGACUAAGACUAUUUGCCAGUUCUGUGAAUAUUGUAAGGAGUUUAGGAUAUAAGUUGUUGAAGAUGUAUCUUUUCAAGUUCAGUAAUCUCGCUGAAAAAGAUAGUAUUAGAUCAAAGUGAUGCAGAUGACUAUUGGAAAAUACAUGAGCUAUAGUUAAGGAAGAGUUAUAAGUUUAUUCAGUAUUAAUGUGAAGUCCUGAGACAAGAAGUAACUUGUGAAUUUAGGGAUUAGUGAAGACUGAGAGUAGAAUUGCAUUCUAAGGGUCUAUGUGUACAGUGGAUCCUCAGUCUUGGAGCGUAAAGAGUAGAAAGCUUAUUAGGCAGUAUUAUAGGGAUGAUUAUGCCAACAUUCUUGUAUUAGGUCUAUAUAUGUGAUUUCUUGAAAGAGACGCUAAGUGAAGAGUUAUAUGAUUAGAAGCUAAAGUAGAUUGACUGAUACCGCAAUGUUAUAGACAUUUGAUAAGGGUUAAGUUAUUUAUUAGUAGCCAAGUUAUGAUUAUGAGAUCGAUGAAGAGUUGCACUUUUACAUAAAGCAUGGAAGUAAGGAUAGUUUCGUUUAGAGAUAGUAAAGUAAUGAAACUAACCAGAUGAUGUUCCUAGUGAUAUAGUAAGAGAACACUGAGAGCUAAUGAAUUCAAUGUAUGCGAAGUUUGCGAACAGGUAGAUUUAUUUGUGUUUAAUACUUGAAGAGUAUUGUUAAUGUUAUGCCAUUUGAUCGUAUAUAUGUUAUUGUAAGAAAAGACUGUUAUUGUAGAAGAUUAAGUAAUAAAGACUUUGUUUUGCCAUUCAUCCUAGUCAACAUCUAUUCUAUUUUGUCUUCCUUUCAAAGGUAAGAAAGAAUCUUAUAUUAUUCAAUUGUGUUAUAUUCUUGUUGUUCAUAAUAUGUGCAUUUCUAAACUAUUAGCUUCACUAUUCACAUAUCUUGUAUUACUGUGUAAAAAGAGAUAUUAAUGAUCUUUGCCAAUGACUUGUUGGAUUAUAUGACAUGUGGACUAUGAGAGGAAAUAUAAGAAAUGCCAUGUGGGAAGAGAUGCCAUGUGGGGAGAGAUAAUGUCAUUGAUGAACAUAGUAAUCACUUGUAGAGAUGAUAGGAAAGUAUUAUCGUGUGUGUGAGAUUGAUGAUUAUGUUGUUUGAUUUAGACAACAUUUUAAGUAAGUUUUGAGAAGAGAAUAUACUUUAUUACUGUCAGACAGUCAGUAUAUUUGUCUUUUGCUCGAUAUUCAUGUGUAUAUAUAUAUUCUUAGCCAAGGACAUGUGCCAUUUACUAUGCAUUAUGCCAAAGCACAUUGUUAUAUAUUCUAGUUCGAGUUAGAUACAGUUUUAGUAGCGAAAUGAGUGGUUCAAGUCCAGAUUAUCUUUAAUUUUCAGUAUUAUGGUAUGAGUGAGUGUGGACGCACCAUGUGUAUAAUAUUAGUGUGUUAUUAGGUUAUGGCAGUGCGUGCAAUGUGAACACAACUUCUUAUCAGAGUUCUUAAUCCCCUCUCCCCCCAAGCUUGACCAUCCACUGCAAUGCAUUACACGCACACAGUGUAGAUAGAGUAUAUGCUAUACCCAAAUGCUAUGUUGAGAAGUGUUAGAGAUAGAAUGUGUUUGUUUUUGACCCAUGCUGGAAAUGGUAUCUUAGGCGGGAAUGAAAGUUUGGUAGAGUCAGCAAAAUGAGAAGACAAAGGAUUUGAGUUGGGGAAUACACUUGUUGAGAAACACAUGGUCAAA
Strongylocentrotus purpuratus (purple sea urchin) is the source of this 1927-nucleotide long non-coding RNA. RefSeq lists it as uncharacterized. NCBI's taxonomy places the organism in Eukaryota, Metazoa, Echinodermata, Echinoidea, Camarodonta, Strongylocentrotidae. The transcript is spliced from 2 exons. The record is from RefSeq and is a predicted model, not a curated record.